UUUUUUUUCUAUAGCUGCCCAGAUUGGAGAAGACUUACUGCCUUCACUUUCUCGAGAUGACAUCAAGGAUCUUCCUGGUCCUGAAAACUUUCACAGGCGGCAGGCUAUAUGGCUUGUUCCGAAUAAAGAUGAAAAGGUGGAGACUGCUGCUGAACUACCACAGUCAUCAGCGACUGGAAGUAGUGGUCUUUCACAAGAGCCCAACACUUCUAAGUUUGUGGUUAUGUCCAGCCCAUAAUACAUUGUUUACACAGACAGUGAACUUGAACAGGUGCAACGCUCCUACUUUGAGCAGAAACGGCUGGGGACUGAGAACACUGUGGAUUUAUCUAAGGAGCUCUUCUGCCGGCUCAUAAGAAACACUAUGUGAUAUAAUAUGAUCUCAAUUGCAAGAGCCACAGAAGAUGCCAGAUACCCCACCAAACCAGAGGUCAAUGCCAUGGCAAAGCGAUUGGUGGAGUAUUAUCCAAUGGUAAAAGACUUGGAGCAUGUUGCCAAAAAGCUUGUGAAGAGGCUAUCGAAUGUAAAAAGCCCAAAGAAGGGCGUUCCUCCUGCAAAGAAACAAUGGCGGGAAGUCGAAGAAGUAACAACGAGUGACUAUGACGGGGAUUCGAGUGCUUCUACGGUCAUUCUUCAACGGUCCCCAGUCAGAGCCAGCACUCCUGUGCAACACCUGGAUAGCAGUGAUGAAUGUGGUUUGGGUGACGUCUUUGAUAGCCAGAAAACCCAAGCAAGACACUGCAACUACAAGACACUGCAAGAGAUGUGCCGGUCCAAAAAGCCAAACAAAGUUUCAGUAACCCAUUUGCUGAACUUGGAGUUUGAGUCAAGAAGACGC
This is a long non-coding RNA of Alosa sapidissima (American shad), 838 nucleotides long. RefSeq lists it as uncharacterized. The transcript is spliced from 4 exons. NCBI's taxonomy places the organism in Eukaryota, Metazoa, Chordata, Actinopteri, Clupeiformes, Clupeidae. The record is from RefSeq and is a predicted model, not a curated record.